RNAcentral lists this long non-coding RNA (369 nucleotides) under Oryza sativa Indica Group (long-grained rice). RNAcentral describes it as "lncRNA OsZS97_01G036600". The record is from RNAcentral. Lineage: Eukaryota; Viridiplantae; Streptophyta; Magnoliopsida; Poales; Poaceae.
GUUAGGAGGAUUCAUUGGUGCGGCACUGCGGCAUUACGACGAACGUCUCGAGCGCGCCUCGUCGCCCGGUUUGUGGCGCUGCUAAAGGUUAGGAUUCUUUGGGGCAUUUCGACGAACGUCUCGCUCGCGCCUCGUCGCCUGUUCGUGGCGCUGCUAAAGGGCACGAGGAUUCUGCAGUGCGACAUUUCAGCGAACACCUUGCGCGCACCUCUGGCGCCUUCCAGCAUUUCCCAAGGAGGCUUAAAUCCUUAUUCAUUGUUAUUAUUAUCUCUUCCCUUCCUGCGGACAAAUUUAUCUUGUGGCAUUUAUGCUACCUUGAUCUCGCUAUUGACAUACAAUAUCCCACAAACACAAAACCUCAAAUCCUAA